UACGGAGGGGGCUAGCGUUGUUCGGAAUUAUUGGGCGUAAAGAGCUCGUAGGCGGUCUGUCGCGUCGGCUGUGAAAACCCGGGGCUCAACCCCGGGCCUGCAGUCGAUACGGGCAGACUAGAGUGCGGUAGGGGAGACUGGAAUUCCUGGUGUAGCGGUGAAAUGCGCAGAUAUCAGGAGGAACACCGAUGGCGAAGGCAGGUCUCUGGGCCACUACUGACGCUGAGAAGCGAAAGCAUGGGGAGCGAACAGG
This 253-nucleotide ribosomal RNA is filed under the name uncultured bacterium. Its description in RNAcentral is "partial 16S ribosomal RNA". It matches the Rfam family "Bacterial small subunit ribosomal RNA", at positions 524 to 776 of the family's 1533-position model. The record is from RNAcentral.